ACGACUGCUAUUUGGGUGAGAAUAAGCCAUGCGAGUCGAAUGGGAUACCUAAAUCUCCCAUGGCAAACUGCUCAGUAACACAUGAUCAACUUACCCUACAGAGAAAAAUAACCUCGGGAAACUGAGGAUAAUGUUUCAUAGUUGAAUAGGCUUGGAAAAGUUUUUCAAUAAAAGGGAUAAGGAAAAUGGUCCUUAUCCGCUAUAGGAUAGGAUCGUGUUCGAAUAUGGUUGUUGGUGAGGUAACGGCUCACCAAGUCGAUAAUCGAUAGGGGCCGUGAGAGCGGGAGCCCCGAGAUGGGUACUGAGACAACGACCCAGGCCUUACGAGGCGCAGCAGGCGCGAAACCUCCGCAAUACACGAAAGUGUGACGGGGUUACCCAAAGUGUUCAAUUUUGAACUGUGGUAGGUGAGUAAUGUUCCCUACUAGAAAGGAGAGGGCAAGGCUGGUGCCAGCCGCCGCGGUAAAACCAGCUCUUCAAGUGGUCGGGAUAAUUAUUGGGCUUAAAGUGUCCGUAGCCGGUUUAGUAAGUUCCUGGUAAAAUCGGGUAGCCUAACUAUCUGCAUGCUAGGAAUACUGCUAUACUAGAGGGCGGGAGAGGUCUGAGGUACUACAGGGGUAGGGGUGAAAUCAUAUAAUCCUUAUAGGUCCACCAGUGGCGAAGGCGUCAGACUGGAACGUGCCUGACGGUGAGGGACGAAAGCCAGGGGAGCGAACCGGAUUAGAUACCCGGGUAGUCCUGGCCGUAAACGAUGCAUACUAGGUGAUGGCACGGCCAUGAGCCGUAUCAGUGCCGUAGGGAAACCGUUAAGUGUGCCGCCUGGGAAGUACGGUCGCAAGGCUAAAAC
This 847-nucleotide ribosomal RNA is filed under the name uncultured archaeon. Its description in RNAcentral is "bacterial SSU rRNA". It matches the Rfam family "Archaeal small subunit ribosomal RNA", at positions 23 to 855 of the family's 1478-position model. The record is from RNAcentral.